RNAcentral lists this long non-coding RNA (588 nucleotides) under Brassica napus (rape). Its description in RNAcentral is "long non-coding RNA (BNAP_LNC006044)". Lineage: Eukaryota; Viridiplantae; Streptophyta; Magnoliopsida; Brassicales; Brassicaceae. The record is from RNAcentral.
UGAGUUUGGUCUCAGAAGAAGUAAACAAUACUAGAAAUGGGUCGAACAGAGGCGUUUAUUAGAUUUCGAGAUGAUGUUACAAAGGUGGAGAAAGUAAAAGCAAGCCGGAGCUCGUGAGAGCUUAAACCGGAAAAGUACAAAUAGCAGAGAGAUGAUUGUACGGAUGAUAAACCCUAAUCUCGCCGCUAAGUUUGUGUAGCUAAGUGUCGAUGCCUUUCUCCUUUGCUUUCCUCUCCUUUUAUACUCUGUUCGAUUACCUUAACCUAAACUCUUUUUACUAAUUGGGCUUUGUCGGCCUUUCGGGCCUGAUUAUGAGAUGCUCGCUGAGCCGUUGAGUCGAUCAACCUCGCUCCGCUUGCUCUCUGCUUCGACUAUCAGCGCUCCCUGUCGAGUCGAUCUCUCGAGAAUCGGCUUCUGCGCCGAUGUCGACUCGGUUUGCUGGACUGGGCCCUUUGUUCGAUGGGCUUUGUGGAUGGGUUAAAUCCAUCCCCAACAGUUUACGGACUUAUUUUUUGAAUCGUCUCUUACUUUUCUUUCUGCUUUAUCAUUUUUUUUAUAUUUUUUUGGCUUUAAGAUAAGUCCCCCCCC